This 425-nucleotide unclassified non-coding RNA is filed under the name Hevea brasiliensis (rubber tree). The record is from RNAcentral. Lineage: Eukaryota; Viridiplantae; Streptophyta; Magnoliopsida; Malpighiales; Euphorbiaceae.
UAGUUACACCCUUCACUGCUUCCUCUCCGCAAUACCACAAACAUGGACCUCCGUGAAUCGAUCGUGAAUCAAAACGCCGUCACUUUGGGCCUUUCCAAGCAUGUGCUCUUAACGGAAGCCAAAACCUCUAAUUCAGUGUUGUCGCCGCUGUCUAUCCAGGUGGUGCUUGGCCUCAUUGCUGCUGGAUCUAAGGGUCCUACCCUCCAUCAAUUGCUUUCUUUCCUCAACUCCAAGUCCAAUGACCACCUCAGCUCUUUCUUCUCCGAACUCGUUUCUGUGGUUUUUGUGGACGGAAGUGCCAGCGGUGGUCCACGCUUGUCAUUCGCCAACGGCGUUUGGGUGGACAGGUCUCUCUUACUUAAGCCCUCUUUCAAACAGGUUGUGGAAAAUGUCUAUAAGGCUGCUUCUAAUCAAGUUGAUUUCCA